CAGUCGCCACGGUAAUACGAAGGGGGCUAGCGUUGUUCGGAAUCACUGGGCGUAAAGGGUGCGUAGGCGGAUUCUUAAGUCUGAUGUGAAAGCCCCCGGCUCAACCGGGGAGGGUCAUUGGAAACUGGGAAACUUGAGUGCAGAAGAGGAGAGUGGAAUUCCACGUGUAGCGGUGAAAUGCGUAGAGAUGUGGAGGAACACCAGUGGCGAAGGCGACUCUCUGGUCUGUAACUGACGCUGAGGAGCGAAAGCGUGGGGAGCGAACAGGAUUAGAUACCCCUGUAGUCCCUGUCUCUUAUAA
This 301-nucleotide ribosomal RNA is filed under the name uncultured bacterium. RNAcentral's name for it is "partial 16S ribosomal RNA". It matches the Rfam family "Bacterial small subunit ribosomal RNA", at positions 509 to 809 of the family's 1533-position model. The record is from RNAcentral.